RNAcentral lists this transfer RNA (76 nucleotides) under Candidatus Peregrinibacteria bacterium. RNAcentral's name for it is "tRNA-Arg". It matches the Rfam family "tRNA". From Rfam's summary of the family: Transfer RNA (tRNA) molecules are approximately 80 nucleotides in length. Their secondary structure includes four short double-helical elements and three loops (D, anti-codon, and T loops). Further hydrogen bonds mediate the characteristic L-shaped molecular structure. tRNAs have two regions of fundamental functional importance: the anti-codon, which is responsible for specific mRNA codon recognition, and the 3' end, to which the tRNAs corresponding amino acid is attached (by aminoacyl-tRNA synthetases). tRNAs cope with the degeneracy of the genetic code in two manners: having more than one tRNA (with a specific anti-codon) for a particular amino acid; and 'wobble' base-pairing, i.e. permitting non-standard base-pairing at the 3rd anti-codon position. RNAcentral also lists the same sequence under 1 other name. Lineage: Bacteria; Candidatus Peregrinibacteriota. The record is from RNAcentral.
GCCCGAGUAGCUCAGUGGAUAGAGCAGUAGCCUUCUAAGCUAUUGGUCACAGGUUCGAUUCCUGUCUCGGGUACCA